RNAcentral lists this transfer RNA (64 nucleotides) under Cavia porcellus (domestic guinea pig). It matches the Rfam family "tRNA". From Rfam's summary of the family: Transfer RNA (tRNA) molecules are approximately 80 nucleotides in length. Their secondary structure includes four short double-helical elements and three loops (D, anti-codon, and T loops). Lineage: Eukaryota; Metazoa; Chordata; Mammalia; Rodentia; Caviidae. The record is from Rfam by way of RNAcentral.
GGGGAUUUAGCUCAGUGGCGUAAGCACCUGCCUUGCAAGCAGGUGGUCGUGAGUUCAAUCCCCG